RNA transcript from Otolemur garnettii (small-eared galago), 5059 nucleotides. It is a transcript of the gene named AMMECR1 like, with no coding region annotated. The transcript has 9 exons. Lineage: Eukaryota; Metazoa; Chordata; Mammalia; Primates; Galagidae. The record is from RefSeq and is a predicted model, not a curated record.
CGGCUUCCUCAUCUCUAUGGUUUUCGUGGCUCGCUAGAGGGCGUGUGGUCCACUGGAGGACUCCCUACAUUCUUCCUCCAUUACCUCACUGCCUCCGGUGGCUGCUGGGAUACUGGAGGACUCGGGUCCCAGCUCGACUCAGUCCUCCAGCCACCCGGGGAAUACCUCUAGUUCUUCCCGGCCACUGCCGCCGCCCCGGCGCUUCCUCUUUCGCCCGCCAGGCUCCUUUGCCCCGCCCCGUCCGCGCCGCGCGUCUGGCCCACCCGCGGGCCCGCUUCUCUUGGUAGCCCUCACCCAGGCGCAUGGCUCCAUGAAGCAGGAGGAGGAGGCAGAGCGCGAGAGGUCCCGUCCGCCCAAGCCGCGUCUGGGCCAGGAGAAAAGGUACAGGAAGAAGGAAUGGAAUUGGAAGGAAGAAGAUUUAUUCCAGAGACAAAAUAGCUCCCCUCUGUUGUAGCUAUUCCUCUGGCAAUACAAACUUUCUACUUUCAGGUUCUGCAGCAUUCCAGACCUCGAGCACCGUAUCAGGAUGGGAAAAAGACGUUGUGUUCCUCCACUGGAGCCCAAGUUGGCAGCAGGCUGUUGUGGAGUCAAGAAGCCCAAACUUUCUGGAAGUGGAACGCAUAGUCACGGGAACCAGUCCACAACUGUCCCCGGCUCCAGUUCAGGACCUCUUCAAAACCACCAGCAUGUGGACAGCAGCACUGGACGAGAGAAUGUGUCAGACUUAACUCUAGGACCUGGAAACUCUCCCAUCACACGAAUGAAUCCCGCGUCGGGAGCGCUGAGCCCUCUCCCCCGGCCCAAUGGAACUGCCAACACCACUAAGAAUCUGGUGGUAACUGCAGAGAUGUGCUGCUACUGCUUUGAUGUACUCUACUGUCACCUCUAUGGCUUCCCACAGCCACGACUUCCUAGAUUCACCAAUGACCCCUAUCCACUCUUUGUGACAUGGAAGACAGGGCGGGACAAGCGGCUUCGUGGCUGCAUUGGAACCUUCUCAGCCAUGAAUCUUCAUUCAGGACUCAGGGAAUACACGUUAACCAGUGCACUUAAGGACAGCCGAUUUCCCCCCCUGACCCGAGAGGAGCUGCCUAAACUUUUCUGCUCUGUCUCCCUCCUUACUAACUUUGAGGAUGCCAGUGAUUACCUGGACUGGGAGGUAGGGGUCCAUGGGAUUCGAAUUGAAUUCAUCAAUGAAAAAGGUGUCAAACGUACAGCCACAUAUUUACCUGAGGUUGCUAAGGAACAAGAUAAUUAUACUGGGGUAACAUCUGACAGGAAGCACGCAGGAGCAGGGAGCCUGGGGACAGCCAAUGUGGCAUGUGUCGGGCUAUCAUCUCAUGUCUGAGUCUCCACUGGACUGUCAGUGAGGCAGACGGGGCACCAGACUGGGAUCAGAUCCAGACAAUAGACUCCUUGCUCAGGAAAGGUGGCUUUAAGGCUCCAAUUACCAGUGAAUUCAGAAAAACGAUCAAACUCACCAGGUACCGAAGUGAGAAGGUGACAAUCAGCUAUGCAGAGUAUAUUGCAUCUCGACAACACUGUUUCCAGAAUGGCACUCUUCAUGCCCCGCCCCUCUACAAUCAUUACUCCUGACACACGGCUGCAUGACCAGUCCCACCCCCCUGUGGCCACCAAUGGCUAUGACAUCAUUGGAGCAGAUGCCUCCUCUUCCUGGUCCAGUUACUUCUACUACUGCACCAUUUUAUGAUGCUAGCUUCCGUUGCCAAGUCUGCCUCCUGCUGACUGAGGGGGGGGGGGGCCGGUAACCUUGAAUGAAACAGAACUUGAGGGGCCCAAGCCUUAUCUCAGCCUUUCCUCAAUAUGGGGUUCUGUUGGAUUGGGGCUCCUCCAUGACUAGUGAGAAUUACUGUGUGGGUUCAGAAGCCUCUUGUCUGGUGAUUAGCUGUGUGUGUGUUGGCCACACACUGGAAGCCGGAAUUGAUGAUCCAUGAAGGCUUAACCCCCACACACAUAUACCUUCAGCCUCCCCAGAUCAAGUAGGUAUAUUCCCCUGGCAGUCUGGGCAACGGAGACCAACAAGAAACAUUUUUAGGUUGUUUUAAAUUCCUUUUUUUAAACUUCCAGUUUAUUGCGCACCAAGAGUUGAUCACAACCUCCAUGCUUCAUAAGUGGACGCCUCAUUAGGGUUGGACGUGGGCACCAUGAGUCCUUCAAGGCUUCUGGACAGAGACCCACAUCAAGAUCAGAAGCCCUUCGAGUGGCGUUGGAGAUAGCAUUGCUCAAUAAGCCUUGAAGGUUUUAAUUUUCAUCCCACUCUCAGUUGGAUUUUCUGGCACUCUUCCUGCAUUGAGUCUCCCGGUAUUGAACAGAACUGUGUGGUGUAGCCUGCUGAGGAAUGGAAUGGAGAUGCCCCUGGGAGGUCCUAAUGUCAUCACUGCGGUCAGGUGUGAAAGGAGAGACCUCUUCAUCAUCACCCGGCUACCUCACUCCUCUACUGGUAGCAGUGCCUAUAGCCGGAGCUAGGUUCUCAGAAGCAUGGAUGUGCACACAAGUGGUUGGGUUAGGCUUUAGGGGGACAUGUCAUAGGAGAGAAUCCAGGGUCUCCAAGCUGGUUUCUUUCUGGGCAAAUGUCCUGAGGGACCUUUAAGCAGGAGAGUUUCUUUUUCUAGUUUGCCUAUAGAGAUGGGAAGACUCGAGAUGUUUCAGUCCUUUAUAGGACUUUAGAACAAAGCUGUGUAACUACACAAGGUGAAUCUUUAUCUUGCCUAACAUGCUGGGAAUCUUCACCCCACCAGGGCAAAUUUCCAAAUAGCUCAUUUUAUUCUAGGUCUUUUGAACUUUCAUGUGACAUAUUUCCCUGUCCCAUUGUUGCUGAUUUCCAAAUACCUGUCAGCAAGUUUGUCCUCCCUUUUGCCUAUUCUUCACUCAUACAGUGGCAAAGUUAAUAGAACUUAGGGGACUUGGAAGAUGCUUUGAAAACACUGUCACAAAGACAGUAACUAAAAAACGAGUCACAGGAAGAGUGGCCAGUUGGAAGAAAGGAUCCUAAGGACGAUGUUACACUGGUUUUCAACAACAUGCUUAGAGAACUCAUGAAGUAGAUUGGGUGUCAACCCAGUGAACACAAAGUUUAAUUUAUUUUUAAAAGUUUUUGUGGUGAUGGUGUGGCUUUCUCAAAUGGGCAAAUAUUCCAGUCAAAAAUCUUUUUGAGUUUUUAUCUGCCAGGAAUGGGGAAUUGGGGACUCAGGGCACAAUCUGAGAAAGGACAUGUGUGCUAUUCCAGGCAUUGCCGGCAAGUUUCUGGGAAGGAAUGGGUGAGGGUGAGUGAGUUUGCUCAGCACCAUCCUGUGCUGCUCACAAGAACCUGGCUUGUGCAAGGGAAACUUGGGUGACAUCAGGGUGCCCAGUCGGCAGCCCCUCACUGCUAUGAUGGGUUCCUGUAGCCUGCCCUGUUUUCCUUGGUUAUGGAGGUGAAGAUGAAGGGGUUAUUUCAUGAUGUCCUGCUGCUUAGAAUAUUAAAUGUCUUGUUACAAAUACAGGUGACAGCAGUUACUCUUAGGUGCGUGGAUCAAUGUUAGGGUGGUCAGCUCUGGACUAAUCCACCCACCUCCAAUUUGUACAACAGUAUUGGUACAUAGGGCUACACUCAUUACUGUUCAAGUGUUCUAUGUUAAAAGUUGUGUUUAAUUUCUAAAGAUUAAAAAAAGCAAAAAAAUUGGUGCUAAACUUUCACCCCUGAGCACGCUCAGUGAGACUGGUCAUGCAAGCAUUUACAGUGCCAUGCUCCUCAAGCCUAUUUUUUCUUGUAGAAAUUUUGCCCUAUUUGUCUUCCCCAAUGUAUAGUAUGUUUUUUAUUUUAUUGUAUUGAGGGUGGGGUAGAAUACCUGCCAUUUAAGAAAAUGAAUAGAAAAUUUAAAAACCCAGGAAUGGGAAAAAAAAAUCAGUGCACAAGAAUCGGGCUGGUUAUGCCCAGCACCACACUGAUGUGGGCUCAGUGGUUUUGGAGUGAAGAAGCCUUACUCCCUGCACAUUCCCUCAUGCUCCCACACAAGUCCAGCAAUGGAAAUGCUUGAGUUCCUUUGCUUUGUCAGGGGGACUCAGGAGUUGACCAAGGGAAACUGUCCCCAUAAGGAAUGGGCACUGUCAGUAUCCAUCCUAAAUGGGGCCUAGUCAGAAAGCAGUCGAAGUGUAUGGUCAUGGUCACCUCAUGAAUAUGUAUGGCAGGUGGCUCUCAGGAAAAAUACCAAGUCUGGAUCAUCCAUGUGGCAGCUUUGCAUAGGGAGAUAACAGCUCCGAACUGGAACUGAACUGCCUUCCACAUGCUUGACCAAAGCAGUGAUGAGGGUGGCCAGUACAUGUGGUAUGAGUGGUAGGUUUAAAGAGAAGGGAAUGUUUUCUGCUGAUUGUUUCCUUUGUCCUUGGGCUGCUCGAGCUGGACAGUAGGUAACCACUGUUCUCAAGGAACCAGCCCAACUUCGCUGGCUUGGUUCGGAGUUCGUUUCGUCCCUAGCUGUGAGUGCCUUUUGGUCUGGAAAGUUGGCUUGUCUCAUAAUACCCACAGCUAGGACAUUCUCUCUCUGUAAUUAAGAAUCGUCCUUGUUUCACAUUAAAAGAGAAUGUCUUUGAUCACUAGAGUUUGUCAGUGUUGGAUUGUUUCCACUGUGAGAUUCUUAAAACUUUCGCUUCAUAAUAUUAAAACAACUCAUGUUAGAGACCCUUCCAACAUGAAAGGUUUGUAGUUAAGACAUUACAUAUAUUUUAUUGUUUAUAAUAAAAAUCAUCUAUACAAAAGAAGUACUGAGUGUUAAUUUUAAUAUUUUGCACAAGAUUUGUUUUCCAUGAUGUGUUAACAUCUACAAUUUCACUAACUGUUGAUGUUAUUUUCUAUUGAGAUUCUGGAGCUUAGGGAACUAUGUGUUCUUUUUGUUUAUUUUUGUUCUUAUUUCCCUGAAGCAAGAGACUAUAUGGCCUUCAGAGCAAAGACUUCAGACCAAUUCUUUGUAUUACACUUGGUUGCCUCUUGGCUAUAUAACUUCUGAGUGCAAAUCAUUGAACUCUUUAAUGAAGUAUUGUAGAGAAUAAAUCAUAACGGAUA